This 490-nucleotide ribosomal RNA is filed under the name uncultured Sphingobacteriales bacterium. RNAcentral describes it as "bacterial SSU rRNA". It matches the Rfam family "Bacterial small subunit ribosomal RNA", at positions 904 to 1382 of the family's 1533-position model. Lineage: Bacteria; Pseudomonadati; Bacteroidota; Sphingobacteriia; Sphingobacteriales. The record is from RNAcentral.
CCCGCUCAGAAACUCAAUGAAUUGACGGGGCCCGCACAAGCGGUGGAGCAUGUGGUUUAAUUCGAUGAUACGCGAGGAACCUUACCUGGGCUCAAAUGUAUGUUGACGUAUUCUGAAAGGGAUACUUCUUCGGACAAUAUACAAGGUGCUGCAUGGUUGUCGUCAGCUCGUGCCGUGAGGUGUCGGGUUAAGUCCCAUAACGAGCGCAACCCCUAUCAUUAGUUGCCAUCAGGUCAAGCUGGGGACUCUAAUGAAACUGCCUACGCAAGUAGUGAGGAAGGUGGGGAUGACGUCAAAUCAGCACGGCCCUUACGUCCAGGGCUACACACGUGCUACAAUGGCCGGUACAAAGGGCAGCUACCUGGUGACAGGAUGCUAAUCUCAAAAGCCGGUCUCAGUUCGGAUCGGAGUCUGCAACCCGACUCCGUGAAGUUGGAAUCGCUAGUAAUCGCGCAUCAGCCAUGGCGCGGUGAAUACGUUCCCGGGCCUU